Non-coding RNA from Triticum urartu, 740 nucleotides. Lineage: Eukaryota; Viridiplantae; Streptophyta; Magnoliopsida; Poales; Poaceae. The record is from RefSeq and is a predicted model, not a curated record.
AGAGGAAUCGCUCGUUCACAGGAUCCAGAUGGACGCAACUUCCGGUCUCCUCUGUCUUUAGGCGAGCGUGCUCAAAAUCCCCCUCGACCCCGGCUGCAUCAGGCGACUCCGCGACCCCACAGCCGGCCUCCGCCCUCUCCGCACCGGCAACCUCCCCUCCUCUCCCUUCCCUUCCCUUCCCUCAUAUCGAGAAGGGAGGUCAUGGUGCUCCUGACACGGGUGGAUCCAGACCAAGCCCGUGGGGUUCCAGCUCGACCUCCUCGCAGCGACCACGGCGACGGGAUCCGCAGAUCCAUGGCCAUGACGGUGCGAGCGCACAGACGCAAGCGUUGAGAAGGGAGAAGGCAUGCGGGCCAUGGCGUUCCCACCGCAGCCGGGUCACUGGCUCCACCACGAGCUCCUCGCACUUGUCAGUGACGACGGCGACUCCGAACCCUAGCGGACGCUCCUGCUCGUCUUCCUCCACACCUCUGCUCGUGCCCGUCUUCCUCGGUGCCAUAUUCAGCACCUACAAGAACGCAGCUUCCUCUCCCGUGACAGGGGAUGUCGCAAGCAGGAGGGACGUGGGUCAGGCAUCUGUAUGUGCUGCUGAAUUUGUUUGAUGGUUCUUGAUUGUUGAGUAAUUCUUGUUAGUUGUUAUAUGUGCUGCUGAACUCGCCAUCAGGGACUUGAUUCAUGUUGGUUGCUAAAUUCAUUGUUGAUUGUUGAUUGUCGAGAGAAAAUCCAGGUGAGCGGUUGUA